AUGCCUUGGUUUAGGAGAUAUUUUUUAGUUAAUAAGGAACUCAUUCGUGGACUGAUUCCGACCCUUUACCAGAAUAAAACAGAGGAGCGGUAUGGUUUCAUAAGAG
Molecule: non-coding RNA, 106 nt
Organism: Vicia faba (fava bean)
Lineage: Eukaryota; Viridiplantae; Streptophyta; Magnoliopsida; Fabales; Fabaceae
Source: the annotation of a GenBank genome assembly